This 968-nucleotide long non-coding RNA is filed under the name Equus caballus (horse). RNAcentral describes it as "lncRNA (ENSECAG00000049334.1)". Lineage: Eukaryota; Metazoa; Chordata; Mammalia; Perissodactyla; Equidae. The record is from RNAcentral.
AUAGGGAUGUAGGUUUGCAUGUGUGUGUCUGUAUUAGUUUCCUUUUGCUGCUGGAACAAAUUACCACAAACUCAGUGGCUUAAAACAACACAAAGUUAUUAUCUUACGGUCCUGGAGGUCAGAAAUCCAAAAUGGUUUCACGGGGCUGAAAUCAAGGUGUUGGCAGGGCCCUGCUCCCUCCACAGGCUCUGAGGGAGAGUCUGAUUCCUUGCCUUUCCCGGCUUCUAGAGACCAAGUGCAUGGUCAGUUUCUACGUGUUCAAAGAGCGGUACCCCAUCUUCUGCUUCCGUCCUCACGUCUCCUCUUUGUGACUCUGACCUUCCUGCCUUUCUCUUAUAAGGGCCAUUGUGACUACAUUGAGCUCAUCUGAAUUAUCCAAGGUAACCUCCUCAUCUCAAGAGCCUUAGUUUAAUCAUGCCUGCCAAUUUCCUUCUGCCAUUUCAAGUAACAAAUUCGCAGGUUCUGGGGAUUAAGGCAUGAACAUCUUUGGAUCAUUCCUUCAGGAACAGGAUGUGCCCACCAUCACCUCUUCUCCCCUUCCCACUGGCUGGAAGGUAAAAUUAUGGCAGGAGCUGAAGCAGCCAUUUUAGAGCAGGAGGUGGAAUCACAUGCAGCAAGAUGGAAGAAAUCUGGCUCUCCAACGAGACAGAAGAAGCCUGGAUUUCCAAAACCACAGAACCAACCUCCCAGCCCUGAACAAUCUACUUUGAUAUUUAUUUACUUCUAUCCUGUUCUAAGCUCCAUUCCAUCUGGCUGGUCAACCUCUGACAUUUUACCACCAUGAUCCACUGUCAAAGUUUCCCCAGUCACUCUCCCUUACUGCAGCUUAUAUCACUCCCCCAUCUAACUCGCCUCCCCAUCCCAUUCUCAAUUCUCCACCACAGCCUGUUGCUAGACAAUCUGUGAUCUCCAACUCUGAAAAGAACCCAUAAAAAUAAAACAACAAAUGCUGACAAUGUUUCUUCAGC